This 380-nucleotide ribosomal RNA is filed under the name uncultured fungus. RNAcentral describes it as "SSU rRNA". It matches the Rfam family "Eukaryotic small subunit ribosomal RNA", at positions 587 to 972 of the family's 1831-position model. Lineage: Eukaryota; Fungi. The record is from RNAcentral.
AGCUCCAAUAGCGUAUAUUAAAGUUGUUGCAGUUAAAAAGCUCGUAGUUGAACUUUGGGUCCGACUGGGCGGUCUUCUCAAUGAGAUGCACUGCUCUGGUUGGAUCUUUCCUUCUGGCUAACCAUUGUGCUAUUAAUUUAGUGCGGUGGGGAACCAGGACUUUUACUUUGAAAAAAUUAGAGUGUUUAAAGCAGGCUUACGCUUGAAUACAUUAGCAUGGAAUAAUAAAAUAGGACUUUGGUUUUAUUUUGUUGGUUUUCAAGACCGAAGUAAUGAUUAAUAGGGUCAGUUGGGGGCAUUAGUAUUUAGUCGUCAGAGGUGAAAUUCUUGGAUUGACUAAAGACUAACUUCUGCGAAAGCAUUUGCCAAGGAUGUUUUCA